UGCCAGCCGCCGCGGUAAUACGGAGGGUGCAAGCGUUGUUCGGAAUUAUUGGGCGUAAAGCGCGUGUAGGCGGUUCGUUAAGUCUGAUGUGAAAGCCCGGGGCUCAACCCCGGAAGUGCGUUGGAUACUGGCAGUCUUGAGUAUGGGAGAGGAAAGUGGAAUUCCGAGUGUAGGAGUGCAAUCCGUAGAUAUCUGGAGGAACAUCAGUGGCGAAGGCGGCUUACUGGACAAUUACUGACGCUGAGGUACGAAAGCGUGGGGAGCGUACAGGAUUAGAUA
RNAcentral lists this ribosomal RNA (279 nucleotides) under uncultured bacterium. Its description in RNAcentral is "partial 16S ribosomal RNA". It matches the Rfam family "Bacterial small subunit ribosomal RNA", at positions 506 to 784 of the family's 1533-position model. The record is from RNAcentral.